This 497-nucleotide ribosomal RNA is filed under the name uncultured bacterium. RNAcentral describes it as "partial 16S ribosomal RNA". It matches the Rfam family "Bacterial small subunit ribosomal RNA", at positions 28 to 507 of the family's 1533-position model. The record is from RNAcentral.
GAUGAACGCUGGCGGCGUGCCUAAUACAUGCAAGUCGAGCGAACAGACGAGGAGCUUGCUCCUCUGACGUUAGCGGCGGACGGGUGAGUAACACGUGGAUAACCUACCUAUAAGACUGGGAUAACUUCGGGAAACCGGAGCUAAUACCGGAUAAUAUAUUGAACCGCAUGGUUCAAUAGUGAAAGACGGUUUUGCUGUCACUUAUAGAUGGAUCCGCGCCGCAUUAGCUAGUUGGUAAGGUAACGGCUUACCAAGGCAACGAUGCGUAGCCGACCUGAGAGGGUGAUCGGCCACACUGGAACUGAGACACGCUCCAGACUCCUACAGGAGGCAGCAGUAGGGAAUCUUCCGCAAUGGGCGAAAGCCUGACGGAGCAACGCCGCGUGAGUGAUGAAGGUCUUCGGAUCGUAAAACUCUGUUAUUAGGAAAGAACAAAUGUGUAAGUAACUAUGCACGUCUUGACGGUACCUAAUCAGAAAGCCACGGCUAACUACGUG